GCUUUCCUGGGGUGUGCGUUGACCUAAUGUUUUAACCCACACAGUACUGAGAAGGGGCACCGGGUUCGCAGAUGUAUAACAUGCCCCGUUUUUAGGGGAAGUUAAAAGUCUGUGACAGGUAUCCCACCUGCCGGGAGGCGGGUAAAAAUAUUAGGUUAAACAACGGCAUCUCGGGAAAACU
RNAcentral lists this non-coding RNA (181 nucleotides) under Clostridiales bacterium. Its description in RNAcentral is "6S RNA". It matches the Rfam family "6S / SsrS RNA". From Rfam's summary of the family: E. coli 6S RNA was the first non coding RNA to be sequenced, but its function was unknown until recently. Lineage: Bacteria; Bacillati; Bacillota; Clostridia; Eubacteriales. The record is from RNAcentral.